UACGUAGGUGGCGAGCGUUAUCCGGAUUCAUUGGGCGUAAAGCGCGCGUAGGCGGCCAGUUAGGUCGGGAGUCAAAUUUCGGGGCUCAACCCCGUCUCGCUCCCGAUACCGGCUGGCUUGAGUCUGGUAGGGGAAGGCGGAAUUCCCAGUGUAGCGGUGGAAUGCGCAGAUAUUGGGAAGAACACCGGCGGCGAAGGCGGCCUUCUGGGCCACGACUGACGCUGAGGCGCGAAAGCUAGGGGAGCGAACAGG
RNAcentral lists this ribosomal RNA (252 nucleotides) under uncultured Coriobacteriaceae bacterium. Its description in RNAcentral is "partial 16S ribosomal RNA". It matches the Rfam family "Bacterial small subunit ribosomal RNA", at positions 524 to 776 of the family's 1533-position model. Lineage: Bacteria; Bacillati; Actinomycetota; Coriobacteriia; Coriobacteriales; Coriobacteriaceae. The record is from RNAcentral.